CCUACGGGAGGCAGCAGUGAGGAAUAUUGGUCAAUGGGCGCGAGCCUGAACCAGCCAAGUCGCGUGAGGGAAGACGGUCCUAUGGAUUGUAAACCUCUUUUGUCGGGGAGCAAACGACGCCACGCGUGGCGUUCCGCGAGUACCCUACGAACAAGCAUCGGCUAACUCCGUGCCAGCAGCCGCGGUAAUACGGAGGAUGCGAGCGUUAUCCGGAUUUAUUGGGUUAAAAGGGUGCGCAGGCGGAAGAUCAAGUCAGCGGUAAAAUUGAGAGGCUCAACCUCUUCGAGCCGUUGAAACUGGUUUUCUUGAGUGAGUGAGAAGUAUGCGGAAUGCGUGGUGUAGCGGUGAAAUGCAUAGAUAUCACGCAGAACUCCGAUUGCGAAGGCAGCAUACCGGUGCUCAACUGACGCUCAUGCACGAAAGUGUGGGUAUCGAACAGGAUUAGAUACCCUAGUAGUC
Molecule: ribosomal RNA, 459 nt
Filed under: uncultured bacterium
Lineage: Bacteria
Description: partial 16S ribosomal RNA
Rfam family: Bacterial small subunit ribosomal RNA
Source: RNAcentral